AACGCUGGUGGCAGGCCUAACACAUGCAAGUCGAGCGGCAUCGAGUGAUCGCAGUUUACUGAGUUCAUGUCGGCGAGCGGCGGACGGGUGAGUAAAGUCUGGGAAUCUGGCCGAAGGAGGGGGAUAACUGCUGGAAACGGCAGCUAAUACCGCAUGAAGUCGCGAGACCAAAGUGGGGGACCUUCGGGCCUCACGCCUUCGGAUGAGCCCAGAUGAGAUUAGCUGGUAGGUAAGGUAAAGGCUUACCUAGGCGACGAUCUCUAGCGGGUCUGAGAGGAUAGCCCGCCACACUGGAACUGAGACACGGUCCAGACUCCUACGGGAGGCAGCAGUGGGGAAUAUUGCACAAUGGGCGAAAGCCUGAUGCAGCCAUGCCACGUGUGUGAAGAAGGCCUUCGGGUUGUAAAGCACUUUCAGCGAGGAGGAAG
RNAcentral lists this ribosomal RNA (428 nucleotides) under Candidatus Williamhamiltonella defendens. Its description in RNAcentral is "bacterial SSU rRNA". It matches the Rfam family "Bacterial small subunit ribosomal RNA", at positions 32 to 450 of the family's 1533-position model. Lineage: Bacteria; Pseudomonadati; Pseudomonadota; Gammaproteobacteria; Enterobacterales; Enterobacteriaceae. The record is from RNAcentral.